GAUGAACGCUGGCGGCGUGCCUAAUACAUGCAAGUCGAGCGAACAGACGAGGAGCUUGCUCCUCUGACGUUAGCGGCGGACGGGUGAGUAACACGUGGAUAACCUACCUAUAAGACUGGGAUAACUUCGGGAAACCGGAGCUAAUACCGGAUAAUAUAUUGAACCGCAUGGUUCAAUAGUGAAAGACGGUUUUGCUGUCACUUAUAGAUGGAUCCGCGCCGCAUUAGCUAGUUGGUAAGGUAACGGCUUACCAAGGCAACGAUGCGUAGCCGACCUGAGAGGGUGAGCGGCCACACUAGAUCUGAGCCCCGGCCCAUACUCCUGCGGGGGGCCACAGGAGGCAUCCGUGCGCAAUGGGCGAAGGCCGGACGGAGCAGCCCCGUGGGGGGGACAAAGGUUUUCGUAUCUUAAAACUCUUUUAUUAGGGAAAAAAAAAUGUGAAAUUAACUAUGCACGUCUUCAGGCUCCCUAAUCAAAAACCCCCGCCUAACUCCGUC
This 497-nucleotide ribosomal RNA is filed under the name uncultured bacterium. RNAcentral's name for it is "partial 16S ribosomal RNA". It matches the Rfam family "Bacterial small subunit ribosomal RNA", at positions 28 to 507 of the family's 1533-position model. The record is from RNAcentral.